GAUGAACGCUGGCGGCGUGCCUAAUACAUGCAAGUCGAGCGAACAGACGAGGAGCUUUCUCCUCUGACGUUAGCGGCGGACGGGUGAGUAACACGUGGAUAACCUACCUAUAAGACUGGGAUAACUUCGGGAAACCGGAGCUAAUACCGGAUAAUCUAUUUAACCUCAUGGUUCAAUAGUGAAAGACGGUUUUGCUGUCACUUAUAGAUUGAUCCGCGCCGCAUUAGCUAGUUGGUAAGGUAACGGCUUACCAAGGCAACGAUGCGUAGCCGACCUGAGAGGGUGAUCGGCCACACUGGAACUGAGACACGGUCCAGACUCCUACGGGAGGCAGAAGUAGGGAAUCUUCCGAAAGGGGCGAAAGCCUGACGGAGAAACGCCGCGGGGGUGAUGAAGGUUUUCGGAUCGUAAAACUCGGUUAUUAGGGAAGAACAAAUGUGUAAGUAACUAGGCACGUCUUGACGGUACCUAAUCAGAAAGCCACGGCUAACUACGUG
Molecule: ribosomal RNA, 497 nt
Filed under: uncultured bacterium
Lineage: Bacteria
Description: partial 16S ribosomal RNA
Rfam family: Bacterial small subunit ribosomal RNA
Source: RNAcentral